GACGAACGCUGGCGGCGUGCCUAAUACACGCAAGUCGAGCGAAGUUUUUCUGGUGCUUGCACUAGAAAAACUUAGCGGCGAACGGGUGAGUAACACGUAAAGAACCUGCCUCAUAGACUGGGACAACUAUUGGAAACGAUAGCUAAUACCGGAUAACAGUAUUUCUCGCAUGAGAGAUAUUUAAAAGUUGGUUAUGCUAACACUAUGAGAUGGCUUUGCGGUGCAUUAGCUAGUUGGUGGGGUAAAGGCCCACCAAGGCGACGAUGCAUAGCCGACCUGAGAGGGUGAUCGGCCACACUGGGACUGAGACACGGCCCAGACUCCUACGGGAGGCAGCAGUAGGGAAUCUUCCGCAAUGGGCGAAAGCCUGACGGAGCAACGCCGCGUGAGUGAAGAAGGAUUUCGGUUCGUAAAGCUCUGUUGUUAGGGAAGAAUGGAUAUGUAGUAACUAUACAUGUAAGAGACGGUACCUAACCAGAAAGCCACGGCUAACUACGUG
This 499-nucleotide ribosomal RNA is filed under the name uncultured bacterium. RNAcentral describes it as "partial 16S ribosomal RNA". It matches the Rfam family "Bacterial small subunit ribosomal RNA", at positions 28 to 507 of the family's 1533-position model. The record is from RNAcentral.